Molecule: transfer RNA, 88 nt
Filed under: Ligilactobacillus pabuli
Lineage: Bacteria; Bacillati; Bacillota; Bacilli; Lactobacillales; Lactobacillaceae
Description: tRNA-Leu
Rfam family: tRNA
About the family: Transfer RNA (tRNA) molecules are approximately 80 nucleotides in length. Their secondary structure includes four short double-helical elements and three loops (D, anti-codon, and T loops). Further hydrogen bonds mediate the characteristic L-shaped molecular structure. tRNAs have two regions of fundamental functional importance: the anti-codon, which is responsible for specific mRNA codon recognition, and the 3' end, to which the tRNAs corresponding amino acid is attached (by aminoacyl-tRNA synthetases). tRNAs cope with the degeneracy of the genetic code in two manners: having more than one tRNA (with a specific anti-codon) for a particular amino acid; and 'wobble' base-pairing, i.e. permitting non-standard base-pairing at the 3rd anti-codon position.
Source: RNAcentral
UGCCGGUGUGGCGGAAUUGGCAGACGCGCUGGACUCAAAAUCCAGUUCCCGUUGAGGGAGUAUCGGUUCGACCCCGAUCACCGGUAUC